This 468-nucleotide ribosomal RNA is filed under the name uncultured bacterium. RNAcentral describes it as "partial 16S ribosomal RNA". It matches the Rfam family "Bacterial small subunit ribosomal RNA", at positions 28 to 507 of the family's 1533-position model. The record is from RNAcentral.
GACGAACGCUGGCGGCGUGCUUAACACAUGCAAGUCGAACGGAAAGGCCCUGCUUUUGUGGGGUGCUCGAGUGGCGAACGGGUGAGUAACACGUGAGUAACCUGCCCUUGACUUUGGGAUAACUUCAGGAAACUGGGGCUAAUACCGGAUAGGAGCUCCUGCUGCAUGGUGGGGGUUGGAAAGUUUCGGCGGUUGGGGAUGGACUCGCGGGUUACCAGCUUGUUGGUGGGGUAGUGGCUUGCCAAGGCUUUGACGGGUAGCCGGCCUGAGAGGGUGACCGGCCACACUGGGACUGAGAGAAGGCCCAGGCUGCGACGGGAGGCAGCAGUGGGGAAGAUUGCACAAUGGGCGGAAGCCUGAUGCAGCAACGCCGCGUGCGGGAAAACGGCCUUGGGGUUGUAAACCGCUUUCGCCUGUAACGAAGCGUGAGUGACGGUAAUGGGUAAAGAAGCACCGGCUAACUACGUG